Molecule: long non-coding RNA, 825 nt
Organism: Epinephelus fuscoguttatus (brown-marbled grouper)
Lineage: Eukaryota; Metazoa; Chordata; Actinopteri; Perciformes; Serranidae
Exons: 3
Source: RefSeq, a predicted model, not a curated record
GUUUCUAGCAGCGGAGCACUGGACCCAGUGCCCCUAACGGUUAGCCCAGCCAACACCAGCAACAGGUCCUCUGAGCUGGAGGAAGAUGGUGGUCCAGUGCCUAGCACCGGCAGAGUGGCGGCUGCCACAGCCCAUGAUCCAGAGCCUCAACUAAAUGUGGAUAACACAGUGGAUGUGGAUAACGCAGAAAAAGCAGCCACGAGAGCAGCAGGGCGCCUGGAUGGUUCUUUGGAGAUGCACACUAAAAAGGAUGACAUCUUGGAUAACUCUUCAGGGCAGCUGAGAGAGAGCAGAGAGAGAUCAAAUUCAAAUGAAGUGAUGAUUCAUGGAUGGAUGUGUAGACAGGUGGGAUUAGAGGCUUGCAGGCAGUGUCAGUAAAGCAAGGGUGGACCCCCUGGAACUCUCUAAUUGACACUGGAUGUUCCCUGAAACCACGAUCUUGAUUAUAUCACACAUUUUAAAUAACAACAGUUUGUCAGACAACGACCCAGCUCUCCUCAAGCUUAGACUUACUGAAGAAAGAGAAGAUGGAUCACAUGCAGAUGACAAUGUGUUGGUCUCUGUUCUUGCCAAAACAUCCUGAUGAUAUUAUAAUGUUUCUGAGUUUCUCUUUAUAUGGAAUCUGCUUUACAGCUGCUGUGUCUGCAGGCAUUUUAACAACCUGCUGAUUUCAGUAAUGAGUUCAUCUGGUCUAACGGGUACAAGCCUGCACCCCUUACAUGCUUUCAGUGAGAGAAAAAAACAUUUACUUUCGUUUUUAUAUUGUUUUUGUACUUGGAUUGAAAUUUUACUUCUUUCUAUAAUGAAAAAGGGAAAAGGAGGAAA